This 600-nucleotide ribosomal RNA is filed under the name uncultured bacterium. RNAcentral's name for it is "bacterial SSU rRNA". It matches the Rfam family "Bacterial small subunit ribosomal RNA", at positions 99 to 700 of the family's 1533-position model. The record is from RNAcentral.
CGUACGGGUGCGGAACACGUGUGCAACCUGCCUUUAUCUGGGGGAUAGCCUUUCGAAAGGAAGAUUAAUACCCCAUAAUAUGUUGAAUGGCAUCAUUCGACAUUGAAAACUCCGGUGGAUGGAGAUGGGCACGCGCAAGAUUAGAUAGUUGGUGAGGUAACGGCUCACCAAGUCUACGAUCUUUAGGGGGCCUGAGAGGGUGAUCCCCCAACUGGUACUGAGACACGGACCAGACUCCUACGGGAGGCAGCAGUGAGGAAUAUUGGACAAUGGGUGAGAGCCUGAUCCAGCCAUCCCGCGUGAAGGACGACUGCCUAUGGGUUGUAAAACUUCUUUGUAUAGGGAUAAACCUACCUCGUGAGGGUAGCUGAAGGUACUAUACGAAUAAGCACCGGCUAACUCCGUGCCAGCAGCCGCGGUAAUACGGAGGGUGCAAGCGUUAUCCGGAUUUAUUGGGUUUAAAGGGUCCGUANGCGGAUCUGUAAGUCAGUGGUGAAAUCUCACAGCUUAAACUGUGAAACUGCAUUGAUACUGCAGGUACUUGAGUGUAGUGAAGUAGCUGGAAUAAGUAGUGUAACGGUGAAAAUGCAUAGAUUUAAC